Long non-coding RNA from Brassica napus (rape), 6621 nucleotides. RefSeq lists it as uncharacterized. Lineage: Eukaryota; Viridiplantae; Streptophyta; Magnoliopsida; Brassicales; Brassicaceae. The transcript is spliced from 2 exons. The record is from RefSeq and is a predicted model, not a curated record.
CUCUCAGGCAGAGUGCAUAUUAAAUACGACGGCAAAAGUACUGUAUUCAACCUCCUACAGGGAGCGAUAAUGGGUAUGAGACAUAAAGCAGGAAUGGGUUUGCGCAAGCCUGAGUAUGCUGUCAAAACUACCUAAAACCCCUGUGCAGUCUAAGGCGCAUCGGGGUCCUUAGAGUACCAUUGUGAAAAGUACAUGUAUUAAAACGCUACGAGCUACACAAUACAGGGAACACAUGGCACAUAUUCAUUGCAAAAGUACUGUGAAAUAAAGGGAGCAAUCUAAAUCCUGCUUCUCCAGACGUGGAAAGCAGCGUAAGCCUGGCACUUAGGUCAUAACACCCACACCAGCACCCUCUAAGCCUGUCAGUGACUUCCUGCAGAAGUAGAAUACAUCAUAGGAACUUGAUAGUGGCCAGCUUCCGAGCGGUAGAAUGGGAAAUUCGAACAGGUACCGAGAGUAGUCUUGCCUAGGAAGGUGGAGUACGGUCCCUGCAAAACCAAAUAUUCCGGGUUCUUAUAAACUCGGGGUCUAAUAUAACCUCAGGGUUAUUAGAUCAGAACCCCCGGGUUAUUAAGAACCUUUGGGUCCCCAUGCAGUCUUCGGGUCCUGAAAAGAUCUCAGGGCCUGGAAAAGGUAAACCUCAGGUUCUUAUAUAACCCCGGGUUCAAAACGACCUUCGGGUCCGAAAGAAACCUACGGGUUCAAAAUGACCUUCGGGUCUAGAGGAACCUCUGGGUUCCCAAACGACCUCUGGGUCCAGAGCAACCUCCGGGUUCAAAACAACCUCCGGGUUCAAAACAACCUCCGGGUCUAAAGCAACCUACGGGUUCGAAACGACCUCCGGGUCCAAAAGAAACCUCCGGGUCCUAAAUACGACCUCAGGGUCUGAAGGAACCUUUGGGUUCCCAAACGACCUUUGGGUCCUUACUCAACCUCCGGGUUCCAAAUAAGAUCUCAGGAUCUAAAGGAGAUACUCCGGAUUCCCACAUGACCUCGGGUCCAAAAGUGAGCUCCGGGUUCAUAAAACACCUCCAGGUUAUAAACGGCCUCCGGGCCAGAAACGAAGGGAGGUGGAAUGCGAUACCUGUCUGAAAGUUUACGAACUUAUAGACAGAUGUUGAUAGUGGCCUACUAACGAGUGGCAGAAUGCAACAUCUAAAAAACGACAUUGAUAGUGGCCUACCUACGGGGGCAGAGUGCAAUGUCGCACACGAUUAAGAGCAGCUUACUCACAGGGGCAGAGCUCGAUAUAACACCUUAGGACCUCCGGGUCCAAAAGGGCUAAAUUCAAAAACCUACGGGUUUGAAGAAGGGAUUCACCCUACAGCCCCAGGUUCCAGGACGAGAGUCCAUCCAGCCGCCGGGUUCCAGGACGAGAUUCCAUCCAGCCUCCGGGUUCCAGGACGAAGUCCAUCCAAUCUCCAGGUUCCUGGACGAAAGUCCAUACAACCUCCGAUUUAUGAAGAAUCGCACCCACGAGCCAUGAGUUUCAGAAGUAUGUAUCUCUAAAUCUUCAGAUUCUGGGAAAACAUGCCCAUGAUCCUCCAAGAAAGCACGACACAAGGCCAUCCUAGCAUUGCUUGUAGCCUCCCUCUGGGGGAAGAUUGCAGUAUUACAUAGUUGAGAGUGGCCAAGAAUCAUUGGCAGAGUUCAACUAGUGGUUCCACCUUCUCCAUUCCGCAUGGAAACUACUGCUCACCGCAAACAACAUGUCCAGGAAUAUUACUCUGGUACCAAGAGUCAACUAGGUUAUCUCCGAGUAACAAGACGAACAUGCUAAACGUCCCCCCUGCCAAAAGUCAAGGUACAAUCCCGAGACGAGGCAAGAAGCUACAGUUACAACAUCAAAACCUCAAGGAGCAUCAAGUAUGCUAAACGUAAUAAGGAGACCGUCACGAAGACCUGAAUGAAAGUCCAUUACAGCUUUUACAAGCUCAAGUGGCGCAAGCAAGGCUAGUAGAAUCAAGCAUGAAGAUCCUCACUUUCGGCCUCCGGGUCUUAUUAAACCUCCUCAUCCCCCUAAUCCUUAGCCUCGCCAAAAUUCUCCCUCUUAGAAUUCUUGGGUCCUGACCCAACACUCCUCCACACGUUUCAUGGAAGCAGAGAGCCUCCAGAAAUGCAAACUGAAGUCAUGCCUGAACUAAGGCCGAGUAUAGCUACAGGAGCAGCAUAAGAAUCUGGGGUAUGAGCAGAGACAUCACCCUUUAUGCAGACGUUCCCGGUUUCUCCAUCAAACUUUCAGCCAACUCCGACCAAUCCCCACCAUGGGGGCGACGUCUCAUCCUUAUAAAGGAGAAGAAGAAAGUCUUACAGGCUCAACUUGACCCUGUGUGACAUUGAUGUCCUCCCUUGGAGCAUUUACUAGUUCCUACAUGGUGGUUCUUUCUGAUUAUCCACUUCCAGGCCAUCGGAAUCAAGGGUACAACUACAUCCACGUGACCAUCCUCAUUCAGACCAAAAACAUGCCCAUUAAAGCAUGUCUGUAAGUCUAUUUACAUUCGUCCAGGUAAUGACAUCAUGCCCACUAGGUUCAUCGACGAAAACACUACCUGAUCUAGACCACGUGUCUAUAUUGAAUCAAGGAUUAUUGCCCAUUCUCCAGGCGUUAUAUCUCCAAUCAGGCUGUGAAUCCUUUCAGACUGGCCGCAAGUACAUCCACUACAAGAAAUAUAAGUAUUGAUAGCACAUCACGGUAGCACGAAUUCACAAACUGCUACUAAAAAUGGGUAGUUUGGAUGUUUAACUCUAUUAUAGCAUUAAAUCAACGCUACUUAGUAUUUUGCAGGAUUUUUACGAAGCGGGAAGACAAAAAUCCAAUUUUUAUACUUGUAAAAUUCAUUGGUGCCAAAUACUUAGUGAAAAUAUCACUUUUGCCACCAAAAUAUUUUGUUUUAGUAUAACUAUUUUUUUUUCUCUAGGUCUUUUCAUUUUUUUUUUCUUCAGAAGAAAAAAAACCUCAAUUCUCUAUUUUAUCUUCUUUUCCAUUCGUGACAAAAAAGAAUAAACUUCUCUCCAUUGCUUCAAUCGAGCUUCUUCAUCAUCCAUCUUCAUCUAUUAUGGGUCAUCUGUUUCUCUAAGUUUCCCUUUAAUCGAUUUACUGAAAUCGAAUCAGUGAAACUAAAUCUAGGGAUUGAAGAGUAUUAACGGAGGAGGAGACGGAGCCACGGCGGAGAUGCUGACGGAGUUUCAGUGACGGUAACAUCGGCUGCCUUUCUGCAAGCCUGGUAACAUCUCUUUUAUGUUUAUAAGCUAAAACUUGAACCUUUGAGGCUUUCCAUAGUUUUUCUCCCUUAGAUUUGGUCUCACAUUUUCUUUUAGCUACUCUGUUUCUUUUGUAGAAGAAGCAGACAUUUCUGGUGCUUCUGGUUCCAAGGAGAUUUUCUAGGGUUUGUGAUUUCUGAUCUUUGUUUCCAGAGCAACCCGAGUUUGAAGAUGGUUUUGACGAUGAGAUUAAGGAAAUCGUUGUGAAGUUUAAUUUCAGGUAACCUGUUGCUUCUGAGCUAAGACUCUUUUCUUUUGGCUCUUGUGUUGAAGAUGGCUUAAAAAAUCGAGUGUUGACCCUCUAAGCAUGAACACAGUCUCAGGCUUAUGAUGUUUGUAUCUGAGUGGAAUUUGGAUUUGUUUGCAAGAGGUAGAUCGAUAACUGGUUUUGGGCUAUGUAGAUAUAUGAAUCCAGCGUAUCAUCUCAAAAGGCCGAAGCAUUUGGCAUUGCUUUUCAUUGUGUUCGUCUCUGUUUCUAUGGACGUUUGGGAUCGUAUAUAUUUUGCCCAAGAAAAUGAGUUAUGUUUUGUAUGAAUAUCUCUGUCUAAGAAACAGUUUUAGUAUCAUUGUAAGCAUUAGUUUAUGCUGAUUUUUUAUGUUAGGGAGCGUGAGCGUAAAGCUGUUCGGUUCAUUGAUGAUGGCCAAAGUUCGUUCCUUUAGUUUAGAACAAUUUUAAAGCUCAUGUCUGAACAAAUUUUAAAGCUUAUGUUUCUCUUAAUUAUCAGGUAUGCAUGUUUAUUUCUUCUUUCUUCGAGAGUGCAUUCUCAUACACAAGACCUGUUGCUGUUUGGUGAGUUACUUGCAUCUGAGGAGCUUGUCUUGUGUCUGAAUCGCCUUUUGCUGUGACUGGACUGUAUUGAAACUGCAGUUUGAUAGCUUGUGGUGAGAUCUUAUUUGUCUUUCUCUGAAUCUGAUCGUAGCUCUUAUUACUGAGUUUAAGUUUCAUAUUUGUUGCAGAUGACUGAACCCAUCUUAAAGGCUGCUAGGUAUUGAUUCAGUUGGAAUGGCGUAGAGCCUGAUGAGUGAACCCGACCCGAGAAUAACAAAAUAAUAAAAUAAAAAAACACAAACAACAGAAAUGUUUUUUUGGUUAAUAAACACACAAAGGAACUGAAAAUAUGAACCACUAAUACAAAAGUGCGCGGAUCACCAUCUUAACCGUUGAUAUACUUUAAUCCAAUGGUCAGAUUUAACCCUUUUGUGUUUAUUCUCUUGUCCCUCUCUCUCCUCUGUCGUAACUUUUUCUCCUCUAUCUCCCAGUUUUUUUUAUUCUUCCUCUGUCAACCUCUACCACCGAUUUUCCUGAUUUCUUCCAUCUUCAUCCUCUUAUCUCACUGAUUUCUCUUUUCCAUCUCUCUCCCCUGUCGAACUCAUGAAUUUUGUGGCUUUUGUUUAGGGGUUUCACUAAGCUUAACAAAGCAAACUUUACUAAGUUGAGGCAAGAGAAGCGUGUUGCUCCUACGUCCAUCUUCUCCGACUCCCUCUUUCUCUCUCCCACGGCUCCAUGUCUCUCCAUCUCCAUACUGGCUAUGUCAAUGGUAGAAGAAUUGAACGUGUGAAGAAGAACCAGAGGAGGUAUGCGACUGGCGUAAGCGAAUAGAGGUUGUGGAGGCUGGAGUAAGAGAACAAAGGCUUGAGGCGGAUGCUCUAGAGGCUGGAGGCACUGCAUGCGGAGGCUGGAGGCGGACGCUCUGGUAGCGGCGGCUUAUGUUUAGGUUAAGCUUAAUUAUGUUUUGGUUAGUUAAUUAGUUUUAAACCCGGUUUGUAUGUAAACUGGUUUAAUUUAUAAACUGAAAACAUUUGUAAUCUUCUGGUUUAAUUUGUAAACCGAAAUGAGGUGUAAACCAAAAUUUUAAUAUCAACCGAAAUCAUUUGCAAACCGGUUUAAUUUAUAUAUCGAAAUCAGUUGUAAACCAAAAUUUAAUAUUUAAUAAUAAUAAUAAUCAAUUUUAUUUUUUUAAAUUUUCAGCAAACGAUUUUAAUUUUCAUAGCAUUGAAAAUAUGUCAAUAUAAAUUAUGCCAUGGCAAAAUAAAAACGCGAUAGAAAAUAAUGUCCUAGCUAAAACAAGGUGCUAUUAAAAUAGUUUAAUAUAGUACUGGGUAAACGCUAUAGCAUCUUUAUUUUUUAUAGCACACGAAAAUACGCUACGAUAGAGGAAGGAUCUACCAUAGCUGCGGCUGUCACGGCGUUCUUCGAAACGCUACGAAAACGAUAUGGUUGCACAUUCUCGACGCUAUUAAUGCCGAUAUUUCUUGUAGUGAUCCGAGCACUAUCGACAAGGGAGUUUGAUGGCUCAGGCUACGAGCCGACGUCCUACUCCAAAUUCAACAAGGAGCUUGAUACCAUGGUAAGACUCACGAAGUCCUAUGAAGAAAAUCAUGUUAUUUCCUGCCUUCAAACAUGAAACCAGAAAAUAAGGGGCGCACUGUUGGGGAAAAAUAUUCCAUGAAGAUAUUACUCCAGCUUCCGGGUUCCUGCCUCCAGCUUCCGGGUUCCUGCCCCCAGGUUCCGGGUUCCUACCUCCGGGCCUGGGUCCCUGCCUCCGGGUCUGGGUCCUGCCUCUGGCUUCCAGGCCGAGUGAUUUACCUUGCCAUAGGACAAAUGGAAAUCUUCCUUUAAUAAGAUAACCAGCUUGGACAAGAGGGAAUCUCCCUAAAUCCGAGAGAAAGAGGAAGUAUUCCAAUACAUAUGACCUCCCUUAAGAAAAAGGGAAAUAUUCUAUUAUCUAGGAAUAUAAUGAAUAUUUCCAAAUCCUAAGAGGGAGGCACGACCUCCACUAUAAAUAUAGGUUUCUAAACCUAAAGAAGGGGGUCCGAGACGUCCAGGGUCCGAGACGUCCAUGAACAGAGCUCAUCAACUCCACAGCCGCCAAGGCGAUAUUGCAUACCUAGAAGACUGUGACACCCGCCACUUUUGAAAUAUAAUAAAUUGAUAAAAGCGGAAAUAAAAUAAUAAUACAACUCAAAUAAUAAUAAUCUUCAUAUAAUAUAAAAGUCAAUACGGUACCAAAAGGCCUACAAGCCCAACAUCGAUAACAUCCGAAAUAUAAAAUACGAUAUAAACCGAAAGUCUGAAAUAGGAAUAACAUAAACGAUAAAAGUCCAAAGGCCUAAAGGCCCGAUAAAGAUAAAAGCGGUAAAAGCGAUAGAAGACCAAAAGCCCAAUAGCACCGGUCUGAUAAUCACUCCUGCUCAUCGGUCUCACCUAAAAGGGGGAAAGAAUGAGGGGUGAGCGACAGGGGAAUCGCUCAGCGAGGUAUGGGAUGCUACCCCGAAGUCCAUGGACCCGGACAUAGCACUCCGAAUAAAUAUAAUUUAAUUCUAGUGCAUGUCAAACACAGUACCUAAAGUACUCAAGCA